RNAcentral lists this ribosomal RNA (442 nucleotides) under uncultured bacterium. Its description in RNAcentral is "partial 16S ribosomal RNA". It matches the Rfam family "Bacterial small subunit ribosomal RNA", at positions 338 to 795 of the family's 1533-position model. The record is from RNAcentral.
CCUACGGGAGGCAGCAGUGGGGAAUAUUGGGCAAUGGGCGCAAGCCUGACCCAGCAACGCCGCGUGAAGGAAGAAGGCUUUCGGGUUGUUAACUUCUUUUAAGAGGGGAGAGAAGAAGACGGUACCUCUUGAAUAAGCCACGGCUAACUACGUGCCAGCAGCCGCGGUAAUACGUAGGUGGCCAGCGAUGUCCGGAGUUACUGGGUGUAAAGGGCGUGUAGCCGGGCUGACAAGUCAGAUGUGAAAUCCCGCGGCGCAACCGCGGAACUGCAUUUGAAACUGUCAGUCUUGAGUACCGGAGAGGUCAUCGGAAUUCCUGGUGGAGCGGUGAAAUGCGUAGAUAUAAGGAAGAACACCAGUGGCGAAGGCGGAUGACUGGACGGCAACUGACGGUGAGGCGCGAAAGCGUGGGGAGCAAACAGGAUUAGAUACCCCUGUAGUC